Molecule: ribosomal RNA, 1354 nt
Filed under: uncultured bacterium
Lineage: Bacteria
Description: partial 16S ribosomal RNA
Rfam family: Bacterial small subunit ribosomal RNA
Source: RNAcentral
GCGGCAGGCUUAACACAUGCAAGUCGAGGGGCAGCGGGGAGGAAGCUUGCUUUCUCCGCCGGCGACCGGCGCACGGGUGAGUAACACGUAUGCAACCUGCCCCUGUCAGGGGGACAACCCGCCGAAAGGCGGGCUAAACCCGCGUACAUGCCACCGGGGCAUCCCGGAGGCAGGAAAGGCUUCGGCCGGACAGGGAUGGGCAUGCGGCGCAUUAGGCAGUAGGCGGGGUAACGGCCCACCUAACCGACGAUGCGUAGGGGUUCUGAGAGGAAGGUCCCCCACACUGGUACUGAGACACGGACCAGACUCCUACGGGAGGCAGCAGUGAGGAAUAUUGGUCAAUGGUCGGGAGACUGAACCAGCCAAGCCGCGUGAGGGAGGAAGGUACAGAGUAUCGUAAACCUCUUUUGUCAGGGAACAAAGGCGGGGACGUGUCCCCGGAUGAGUGUACCUGAAGAAAAAGCAUCGGCUAACUCCGUGCCAGCAGCCGCGGUAAUACGGAGGAUGCGAGCGUUAUCCGGAUUUAUUGGGUUUAAAGGGUGCGCAGGCGGUCUGUUAAGUCAGCGGUCAAAGCCCGGGGCUCAACCCCGGCCCGCCGUUGAAACUGGCAGUCUCGAGUUGGAGAGAAGUAUGCGGAAUGCGCGGUGUAGCGGUGAAAUGCAUAGAUAUCGCGCAGAACUCCGAUUGCGAAGGCAGCAUGCCGGCUCCACACUGACGCUGAGGCACGAAAGCGUGGGUAUCGAACAGGAUUAGAUACCCUGGUAGUCCACGCAGUAAACGAUGAAUGCUGGCUGUCCGGGGGGAUUGACCCCUGGGUGGCGAAGCGAAAGCGAUAAGCAUUCCACCUGGGGAGUACGCCGGCAACGGUGAAACUCAAAGGAAUUGACGGGGGCCCGCACAAGCGGAGGAACAUGUGGUUUAAUUCGAUGAUACGCGAGGAACCUUACCCGGGCUCAAACGGGGAGUGACUCAGGCAGAGACGCCUGUUUCCCACGGGACACUCCCCGAGGUGCUGCAUGGUUGUCGUCAGCUCGUGCCGUGAGGUGUCGGCUUAAGUGCCAUAACGAGCGCAACCCCCGCGUGCAGUUGCUAACAGAUAACGCUGAGGACUCUGCACGGACUGCCGGCGCAAGCCGCGAGGAAGGCGGGGAUGACGUCAAAUCAGCACGGCCCUUACGUCCGGGGCGACACACGUGUUACAAUGGGUGGUACAGCGGGAAGCCAGGCGGCGACGCCGAGCGGAACCCGAAAUCCACUCUCAGUUCGGAUCGGAGUCUGCAACCCGACUCCGUGAAGCUGGAUUCGCUAGUAAUCGCGCAUCAGCCAUGGCGCGGUGAAUACGUUCCCGGGCCUU